This is a long non-coding RNA of Cyprinus carpio (common carp), 526 nucleotides long. RefSeq lists it as uncharacterized. The transcript has 3 exons. NCBI's taxonomy places the organism in Eukaryota, Metazoa, Chordata, Actinopteri, Cypriniformes, Cyprinidae. The record is from RefSeq and is a predicted model, not a curated record.
UGUUUGUCUGUCAGUGAACACGCUGCGUGAAACUCGAUCUGACUCUCUUCUGCUGGGAUUGGACUCUUCUGGAAACUGAACUUUAGAGAAAUGAUGCUGAUCUUUGGACUGAUGCUGCUGCUGCAAACUGCUGCAUGUCUGGAUCAGUUCUGCAGUUUUUUGAUAAAUCAGAUCCCUGUUAUGCAGCUCUGGAACACAAACUCAGUCUGCUGAUGAAGCGGGACACUCGAGAAUAUGACCUGAGGUUAAAAAAGAGAAUAGACAACACACAAGAUGAUCCAAUUUGUAGAGUAAAAUAUGGCAGGAUAAAGGAAUGUGAUCUUUAUAAUAACAGAACUGAAGUGAAAGUCAUUAAUGGGACUGUGAUAAUAAACCGUGUGAUCAGAGCAGAUUCUGGGAAUUACAGAUUAACACUCUUUCACUCAGACGGCACAGAAACAUCUAGAGAUCUUCAAGUGAUUGUUGAAGCUCCUAUUGGCUCAGUGGAAGUGUCAAUCAUCUGCUCCUCCAGUGGGGUGAUGAGGGU